Long non-coding RNA from Sebastes umbrosus (honeycomb rockfish), 545 nucleotides. RefSeq lists it as uncharacterized. Lineage: Eukaryota; Metazoa; Chordata; Actinopteri; Perciformes; Sebastidae. The record is from RefSeq and is a predicted model, not a curated record. The transcript has 4 exons.
UCCUCCUCCUCCUCCUCCUCGUGUCAAAGUGGGUGCCAAUCAAUGUUUACAACCUCGGUUAAAAGAUGGAGCAGAAGUGUCCACGAAAAAGAGAAAUAAAACACCAUGAGAGUGAAUUGCGGGAGCAGCAAUCAGAGAGACACUGGAGAGGGGCUAAAGAGCCACAUGUGGCUCCGGAGCCGCAGGUUGCAGACCCCUGAUCUAUGUCAACCAGUAAUAUAAAAUGCAUGGAUUCGGCUUAGAGUCACCAGAUAACACGGUCACUCGUUAAACACCUGUGCAUUGAGGAACAGAAGCCUGAGGAGCAGGAGGAAGAAGUACAGCUAUCACCCUUAACCAAGUCCUACUCCUGCGGCAGUUUCUCCUCAACAACUGUGUGUUCAACACCAAGCCCUGUCGUCUCCGGCUGUGACCAUCAAAAGUUCCUCUGUGCUGUUCUUCACAUCUUCCUGGCCGGUGAUGGCGUCCUCUUUCCUCGUGGUGCUCGGCGAGGAGCUGCUCUUUGAAGAUUCCUCGUUGACCUGGAGACCCUGGAUGGUGUUCUG